RNAcentral lists this unclassified non-coding RNA (2032 nucleotides) under Hevea brasiliensis (rubber tree). The record is from RNAcentral. Lineage: Eukaryota; Viridiplantae; Streptophyta; Magnoliopsida; Malpighiales; Euphorbiaceae.
AAAAAAAAAAAGAACUUACAUACACACACACAAUAGUACUACAAUUUUUUUACAUAACCAAGAAGCUCAAACUAGUCAUGUGUCAAACAGUAGCAGCAGCAGCCAGUUUCUUGAAUACAGGAUUGGCUUGAUACAAAACAAGAGGGUCAAGAUACAUUGAGCACAACGUAUACCUGAUGUAACCAAAAGAGAGACGCAUCGCCAUGCAAUUGCUUGCCACCGCGCCUUACAGAUAAGAAAAGGAAAUGCUCAAGAGGGGUUAAUAUGACAGGAACAAUGAACAAAAAAAGAUCAUGAAAGUGAGAUUUGGGACCCAAAUUCGCCACCAAGCGUGCACUAGAACUUUUCCAGGGUCCUACUGAGGUAACAUAUCACCUUGUAUCGUUCACACAGACAACGAACAAUUAUGUAGGCAAGCUAAACACAUUUCCAAAGGGCAGAAUCAACUUUUUUUUUCUCUUGGGGGUCAAGAUGUGAACUCAUGAUUUACCACCCUUUAUGGAAGCAUGACAAGAAGUUCCCUCCUUAUCUAAAAAGAAGACAUGACCACUGAUUUUCAAAGCCAUAGCCAAUGGUUAUCAACAAGAAUGAUGGAAUAAAGACUCUAAAAGGGAUUCUCCAAUCUGGUUUACUUUGUUUAUGGCGUAUUCUGAUCAGCCACGCAUUGCCAUACCUCCAUUUAAACUCUAAUUCAGCUUUAUUUAAUUAUAACCUUUAAAUACGUACUUCCAACCAGCGAGAAGCUACAAGAAAAAUACCAUUAGUAACUCAAUAUGAUGACCAGUGGCAAGCUGAAGCUCAAAGAGAAUCAAGUCCUAGGGACUUGGCUUUCAUCUUCAGGGAUCUCAAGUAAUGGAUUGCUUCAUCAAUAACAACCAUUGAGUCUUUUCCUUUCCCUCCGGGGAUUAUUUCCUGCAAAAUGCUUAUUGUCUCGCGGAUUUUAUCUUUUCUUAGCCUCUUUUUCCCAGAUGGAGAAUCUGGUGCUCCUGAGUCUUGUUCGAGACCAUUGCCACAACUGGAUUGUGCAUCAUCCUCUAAGUCGGAGCACGUAUAGGCUUUUGCGGAGGUUGCAGUAUCCCUGAGCUCUGGUGCAUCGUAGCUACCAUCUAGCAGUUUAUGCCUUUUAGUCACCCCAGCAGAACUAGCAACUUCUUCACCCCUUCCGUCAAAACACUCGCGCAUAUCAUGAGUGGUCAUAGUACUAGGCGAGUGACCAGUGCUUGUUUCUUCAUCAUCCUCGGAAUAAUUGUAAUCAUCAUCAGAGUAGAGUAGGGCAUUCAGUUCUUCAGUAUCCUCAUGCAUUUCACUUUCAACAUCAUCUCUGUUGUUUUCUUCAUAAUAUUCAUCACCGAAGAAAUGCCCAAAUGGAGAAGUUUCAUUUCUUUUGAUCUCUGGAUCUUCCUUAUAAAGGGCUGGGGCUUUUGGAUUCAGAGAAGCCGGGCAUUGUACGUGAGUACCAUUAGCAGAAUUAUAGAUCAAAGUUGUCUGAUCACCAGAUUGAUCAAACACAAGGAAUCUCUUCUGAGUAGAUGUGGUGCCUCCAUUAGGAUGUUUGCUACCUUCCAGAUUUUCAAGUGCUCUAGGAGCUAACUUCUCUUUAGGUAAAGUGGUCGAAACAGGAUUAAAGCCCUGAUAAAACAGAGGCGAAUAAUAUAACCAAUUGCAAGUUUCUGCUGGCCAGCUUGCAUUUGACACUGGCAGACCAGGAAAUGUGAAAUAUGGAGAAUCCCCAUUUAAAGGAAUCUCAUUUGACUGAGGAGUCAUGUAAGUAGGAAAAGAAUUCUGCUGCCCUAUAUCAAAUCGUGGAUAAGAAAAAUUCAAAUGGGCUGACUGCAGAUCUGAAUGUUGGUGAUGGAAUGAAGAGACCAAGUCUUUUUCCAUUCAACCUUAACAAUCACCAGUUUGAAACAACUGUGAAACUACAAAUUGCUGAUUAUUUCUUGCACUCUUGCUAAAUAAAGAAAAACUAAAAACUCCAGCUUAACUUGAACGCGGUAAAGAAAGAUCGAUCUACGUGACAGGUUUAAGCAAA